GAGUUUGAUCUUGGCUCAGAGCGAACGCUGGCGGCAGGCCUAACACAUGCAAGUCGAACGAACUCUUCGGAGUUAGUGGCGGACGGGUGAGUAACACGUGGGAACGUGCCUUUUGGUUCGGAAUAACUCAGGGAAACUUGUGCUAAUACCGAAUGUGCCCUUCGGGGAAGGAUUUAUCGCCAUUAGAGCGGCCCGCCGUCUGAUCAGCUAGUUGGUGAGGUAAAGGCUCACCAAGGCGACGAUCAGUAGCUGGUCUGAGAGGAUGAUCAGCCACAUUGGGACUGAGACACGGCCCAAACUCCUACGGGAGGCAGCAGUGGGGAAUCUUGCGCAAUGGGCGAAAGCCUGACGCAGCCAUGCCGCGUGAAUGAUGAAGGUCUUAGGAUUGUAAAAUUCUUUCACCGGGGACGAUAAUGACGGUACCCGGAGAAGAAGCCCCGGCUAACUUCGUGCCAGCCGCCGCCGU
This 466-nucleotide ribosomal RNA is filed under the name uncultured microorganism. RNAcentral's name for it is "bacterial SSU rRNA". It matches the Rfam family "Bacterial small subunit ribosomal RNA", at positions 9 to 521 of the family's 1533-position model. The record is from RNAcentral.